CCUACGGGGCGCAGCAGUGGGGAAUUUUCCGCAAUGGGCGAAAGCCUGACGGAGCAAUGCCGCGUGGAGGUAGAAGGCCCACGGGUCGUGAACUUCUUUUCCCGGAGAAGAAGCAAUGACGGUAACUGGGGAAUAAGCAUCGGCUAACUCUGUGCCAGCAGCCGCGGAAAUACGAAGGGGGCUAGCGUUGCUCGGAAUGACUGGGCGUAAAGGGCGCGUAGGCGGUUUAUGCAGUCAGAUGUGAAAUCCCCGGGCUCAACCUGGGAACUGCAUCUGAUACUGGCAAGCUUGAGUCUCGUAGAGGGGGGUAGAAUUCCAGGUGUAGCGGUGAAAUGCGUAGAGAUCUGGAGGAAUACCGGUGGCGAAGGCGGCCCCCUGGACGAAGACUGACGCUCAGGUGCGAAAGCGUGGGGAGCAAACAGGAUUAGAUACCCCAGUAGUC
RNAcentral lists this ribosomal RNA (442 nucleotides) under uncultured bacterium. Its description in RNAcentral is "bacterial SSU rRNA". It matches the Rfam family "Bacterial small subunit ribosomal RNA", at positions 338 to 795 of the family's 1533-position model. The record is from RNAcentral.